GGGUUGUGAGGUUAAGCGACUAAGCGUACACGGUGGAUGCCCUGGCAGUCAGAGGCGAUGAAGGACGUGCUAAUCUGCGAUAAGCGUCGGUAAGGUGAUAUGAACCGUUAUAACCGGCGAUUUCCGAAUGGGGAAACCCAGUGUGAUUCGUCACACUAUCAUUAACUGAAUCCAUAGGUUAAUGAGGCGAACCGGGGGAACUGAAACAUCUAAGUACCCCGAGGAAAAGAAAUCAACCGAGAUUCCCCCAGUAGCGGCGAGCGAACGGGGAGCAGCCCAGAGCCUGAAUCAGUGUGUGUGUUAGUGGAAGCGUCUGGAAAGGCGCGCGAUACAGGGUGACAGCCCCGUACACAAAAAUGCACAUGCUGUGAGCUCGAUGAGUAGGGCGGGACACGUGGUAUCCUGUCUGAAUAUGGGGGGACCAUCCUCCAAGGCUAAAUACUCCUGACUGACCGAUAGUGAACCAGUACCGUGAGGGAAAGGCGAAAAGAACCCCGGCGAGGGGAGUGAAAAAGAACCUGAAACCGUGUACGUACAAGCAGUGGGAGCACAGAGCAAUCUGUGUGACUGCGUACCUUUUGUAUAAUGGGUCAGCGACUUAUAUUCUGUAGCAAGGUUAACCGAAUAGGGGAGCCGAAGGGAAACCGAGUCUUAACUGGGCGUUAAGUUGCAGGGUAUAGACCCGAAACCCGGUGAUCUAGCCAUGGGCAGGUUGAAGGUUGGGUAACACUAACUGGAGGACCGAACCGACUAAUGUUGAAAAAUUAGCGGAUGACUUGUGGCUGGGGGUGAAAGGCCAAUCAAACCGGGAGAUAGCUGGUUCUCCCCGAAAGCUAUUUAGGUAGCGCCUCGUGAAUUCAUCUCCGGGGGUAGAGCACUGUUUCGGCAAGGGGGUCAUCCCGACUUACCAACCCGAUGCAAACUGCGAAUACCGGAGAAUGUUAUCACGGGAGACACACGGCGGGUGCUAACGUCCGUCGUGAAGAGGGAAACAACCCAGACCGCCAGCUAAGGUCCCAAAGUCAUGGUUAAGUGGGAAACGAUGUGGGAAGGCCCAGACAGCCAGGAUGUUGGCUUAGAAGCAGCCAUCAUUUAAAGAAAGCGUAAUAGCUCACUGGUCGAGUCGGCCUGCGCGGAAGAUGUAACGGGGCUAAACCAUGCACCGAAGCUGCGGCAGCGACACUAUGUGUUGUUGGGUAGGGGAGCGUUCUGUAAGCCUGUGAAGGUGUGCUGUGAGGCAUGCUGGAGGUAUCAGAAGUGCGAAUGCUGACAUAAGUAACGAUAAAGCGGGUGAAAAGCCCGCUCGCCGGAAGACCAAGGGUUCCUGUCCAACGUUAAUCGGGGCAGGGUGAGUCGACCCCUAAGGCGAGGCCGAAAGGCGUAGUCGAUGGGAAACAGGUUAAUAUUCCUGUACUUGGUGUUACUGCGAAGGGGGGACGGAGAAGGCUAUGUUGGCCGGGCGACGGUUGUCCCGGUUUAAGCGUGUAGGCUGGUUUUCCAGGCAAAUCCGGAAAAUCAAGGCUGAGGCGUGAUGACGAGGCACUACGGUGCUGAAGCAACAAAUGCCCUGCUUCCAGGAAAAGCCUCUAAGCAUCAGGUAACAUCAAAUCGUACCCCAAACCGACACAGGUGGUCAGGUAGAGAAUACCAAGGCGCUUGAGAGAACUCGGGUGAAGGAACUAGGCAAAAUGGUGCCGUAACUUCGGGAGAAGGCACGCUGAUAUGUAGGUGAAGCGACUUGCUCGUGGAGCUGAAAUCAGUCGAAGAUACCAGCUGGCUGCAACUGUUUAUUAAAAACACAGCACUGUGCAAACACGAAAGUGGACGUAUACGGUGUGACGCCUGCCCGGUGCCGGAAGGUUAAUUGAUGGGGUUAGCGCAAGCGAAGCUCUUGAUCGAAGCCCCGGUAAACGGCGGCCGUAACUAUAACGGUCCUAAGGUAGCGAAAUUCCUUGUCGGGUAAGUUCCGACCUGCACGAAUGGCGUAAUGAUGGCCAGGCUGUCUCCACCCGAGACUCAGUGAAAUUGAACUCGCUGUGAAGAUGCAGUGUACCCGCGGCAAGACGGAAAGACCCCGUGAACCUUUACUAUAGCUUGACACUGAACAUUGAGCCUUGAUGUGUAGGAUAGGUGGGAGGCUUUGAAGUGUGGACGCCAGUCUGCAUGGAGCCGACCUUGAAAUACCACCCUUUAAUGUUUGAUGUUCUAACGUGGACCCGUAAUCCGGGUUGCGGACAGUGUCUGGUGGGUAGUUUGACUGGGGCGGUCUCCUCCUAAAGAGUAACGGAGGAGCACGAAGGUUGGCUAAUCCUGGUCGGACAUCAGGAGGUUAGUGCAAUGGCAUAAGCCAGCUUGACUGCGAGCGUGACGGCGCGAGCAGGUGCGAAAGCAGGUCAUAGUGAUCCGGUGGUUCUGAAUGGAAGGGCCAUCGCUCAACGGAUAAAAGGUACUCCGGGGAUAACAGGCUGAUACCGCCCAAGAGUUCAUAUCGACGGCGGUGUUUGGCACCUCGAUGUCGGCUCAUCACAUCCUGGGGCUGAAGUAGGUCCCAAGGGUAUGGCUGUUCGCCAUUUAAAGUGGUACGCGAGCUGGGUUUAGAACGUCGUGAGACAGUUCGGUCCCUAUCUGCCGUGGGCGCUGGAGAACUGAGGGGGGCUGCUCCUAGUACGAGAGGACCGGAGUGGACGCAUCACUGGUGUUCGGGUUGUCAUGCCAAUGGCACUGCCCGGUAGCUAAAUGCGGAAGAGAUAAGUGCUGAAAGCAUCUAAGCACGAAACUUGCCCCGAGAUGAGUUCUCCCUGACUCCUUGAGAGUCCUGAAGGAACGUUGAAGACGACGACGUUGAUAGGCCGGGUGUGUAAGCGCAGCGAUGCGUUGAGCUAACCGGUACUAAUGAACCGUGAGGCUUAACCUUACAACGCCGAAGCUGUU
Molecule: ribosomal RNA, 2931 nt
Filed under: Escherichia coli
Lineage: Bacteria; Pseudomonadati; Pseudomonadota; Gammaproteobacteria; Enterobacterales; Enterobacteriaceae
Description: 23S ribosomal RNA
Rfam family: Bacterial large subunit ribosomal RNA
Source: RNAcentral